GGUGAGGUGUCCGAGUGGCUGAAGGAGCACGCCUGGAAAGCGUGUAUACCGCAAGGUAUCGAGGGUUCGAAUCCCUCCCUCACCGCCA
RNAcentral lists this transfer RNA (88 nucleotides) under Thalassolituus pacificus. RNAcentral describes it as "tRNA-Ser". It matches the Rfam family "tRNA". Rfam says of the family: Transfer RNA (tRNA) molecules are approximately 80 nucleotides in length. The record is from RNAcentral. Lineage: Bacteria; Pseudomonadati; Pseudomonadota; Gammaproteobacteria; Oceanospirillales; Oceanospirillaceae.